UACAGAGGUCUCAAGCGUUGUUCGGAUUCAUUGGGCGUAAAGGGUGCGUAGGUGGCGCCGUAAGUCAGGUGUGAAAUUUCGGAGCUUAACUCCGAAACUGCAUUUGAUACUGCGGUGCUUGAGGACUGGAGAGGAGACUGGAAUUUACGGUGUAGCAGUGAAAUGCGUAGAGAUCGUAAGGAAGACCAGUGGCGAAGGCGGGUCUCUGGGCCGAUACUGACGCUGAGGAGCGAAAGCGUGGGGAGCGAACAGG
RNAcentral lists this ribosomal RNA (253 nucleotides) under uncultured bacterium. Its description in RNAcentral is "partial 16S ribosomal RNA". It matches the Rfam family "Bacterial small subunit ribosomal RNA", at positions 524 to 776 of the family's 1533-position model. The record is from RNAcentral.